Molecule: long non-coding RNA, 230 nt
Filed under: Capsicum annuum
Lineage: Eukaryota; Viridiplantae; Streptophyta; Magnoliopsida; Solanales; Solanaceae
Description: long non-coding RNA (CANN_LNC004308)
Source: RNAcentral
AUGAAUAGUAAGGACAAUACUCGAGAAAUAGCGAUCAUAUACCGAGUAUAUUAUCGACUCAUGGGUACUACUCUAGCCCCUAAAGCUAGAUUCACGAGCCCUAAAGGGGUCACCACCCUAAUGGAAGCAAACAAAGAUCGUAGCACAGUCUUUGUUCCUAAGGCUCUAGUUUGGGAUGAUAUCCUUCAUAGCAAUGAUUGGCACUUUGAGGCUAUCACCCAUCCUGUUCG